CCAAGGUUGCUUGCUAAAAUUUUAUUUGGAAGUGACUUUGACAAAAGGUCAACGGAAAUGACAAUCUUUAUCGCAGUUGGUAUUCCUGUGUUUUUAUGACCGAUGUUUUGGGACGGGGCUAGUAGACAAGUGAGCUGCGACAAGUAGGAACAUAUGACAUCAUUCAUUCACUCUUUUGCUGCCUUGUUUUUGUGGGACUCUUUCCAGCAAGAUGGAAUCCGGAACAAGAACGUUCUGAGAAACAUGAAGCUCUUCACUCAAGCUAAAAUUGAAGCUGGACAACUAAAGAGAUGAGAUGUUCACUGACCAGAGUAAUGGUAGUCAUUUGAUUCUAUCUGAAGAUAUAGAGCCAGCUUUUGAUAAGGCUGCCAAGAUCCUGGAGAUGAGCAGAACUCUAUGAACUUGGAAACCGCUUAGAUAAGGAGAUGAACCAUACAAAUGAGCGCUUGCCUUUUGUGCAAGAUACUUUUGCAGCCAGAAAAGAGUUUGAUUUUACAAAAUCUCUUCAAGAUCGUCCUAAAGGAUGCAAUUGACUUCGAAGACGUUACAGCAAGCAUUCAAAAUACAUUGUUUGCUUCACUGAGCAGCCUAUCCUGUAUGAACAGGAUAUGAAGUGAACUGUCUCAUCCUGCGAGGCUAUUGACGAGAAACGAAAAUUAAGGAUGCGGAUGGAAGUAAUAAUCUCUGUUGAAGGUUAGAUCCUAAGAUACCUGAAAAAGAUUGGUGAGGGCAACUAUUAUACUAUACAGACACCUCUCCUGAAUUGGUAAGCCAUGUUUCCAGGGAUUUGAAAAUGUGCUUAACAUUCUAGAACUCAUCUUGACCUCUGUGAUAGAUGUGAGAUGUAGCCCUCAUAUUCAGAAUCGGUCUAGUCUGACCUACUAUGAAAAUAAUCGUGAUGUUGGUGAACAACCUUUUUUCUUGCUCUCCUUAACUACAUUUUGGAUGUCUUAAAGUUCUGCCGUCUAGCAAAUUAUUGCCAGCCAGAAGCCAUCCUUUUUUUAUAUAGAUCUAGUGCCCUGAUAUCAGAGCUACAUUUAAGAAUGCCAAUACAAGCAUAACCAUUCCCCUAAUCAACCCCUUAGUGAGUUACUAUAUUACUAUACUAUAAACCCCAAGCUGCAUUUUCUUCUAGACACGCCCCUGACUUGCCAUGCCAUGCCUUGUUUAAUAAUAAAGUAAGAAAAAUUCUAGAUGUUGAUAUAAUCCAGAUUAUACUUAUGCAUUACUUAUCAGGCCCGUAACCAGGUUUUUUCUUGGGGGGAGGGGGGGUGGGGGAUGCGAAAUCCGAAAAAGUGGACCUAAUGAAAAAUGACGAAAUAAUAUUGACCUAAAAGGUAUGCCAUUAAGUUGUAUUCUCUAUGCCGACGACUUAGUUAUCCUAUCAAAAUCAGCAAAGGGCCUGCAAUAAUAUCUGAAUAGCCUCGAAGAAUAUUGCAAAGCAUCCGAAAUAUCCAUCAAUUUAGAUAAAACAAAAGUGAUGAUUUUUAAUAACAACGGGAAAACUAUGAAUAAUUACCGAAUCAUUUACGGAACCUAUAAAAUAGAAAAUGUCAAAAGUUAUCUUGGACUCCAUUUUUGCCCUUAUGGAAAUUUUAAUUUGGCUAAGGAGGAGCUAAAAAAAGUAGCAUUAAAAGCGAUGUUCAAGUUUAGAAAAGAAAUGGGAAGGCACUUCAGACAAGAUAUCAAACUAACUCUCCGCCUUUUUGACACCUUGAUACAACCAAUCCUACUUUAUGGAAGCGAAAUAUGGGGAGUGGACUGUAAGGGAAAGUUAGAAAAAGAUCCAAUAGAAAUGGUCCACACUAAGCUUCUAAAAUGGCUUCUCGGCGUAAACCGAUACUGUAGCUCGAACCGUGUAGGGCUGAAUUAGAACGAUUCCCUCUCAGAACAAAAGCAAAGUGUAGAGCGAUCAAACUUUGGCUUAAACUUUCACACAACAAUGGGAAUAACAAAAAACUCUCCCGCAAAGCAUUCUCUUCCAUAUCUAAUUAUGGAAACAAGAACUUUUGGCAAAAAGUACUUGACCUUGCGGGUAGGAGCGAUAUUUGGCUGACUGGCACAAACACUCCCGAAGCAACAUACAGUUAUCUUCAACAAAGGCUUUAUGACAUUGAACAACAGACAUGGCUCAGCUCUAUUCAAAAUGACAACAGAAAAGACCAAGACCAAAUUGCGUACGCUCAGAAAAUUUAAACUGUCCCACAAUUUAGAUUAUCUAACGGACGUAAAAAAUAUUGACCAUGGGAUUACCCUUACUAGGCUAAGCAAUCACAAGCUAGCAAUUAAAACUGAAAGGUAUGAAAAGCCAUACAAAAAACCUAACGAAAGCAAAUGCUUAGUAUGCCAGACAGGUAAAAUUGAAGGAUGAAGAGAAUUUUCUGUUAGAAUGUCCGGCCUAUAAAAAUGAUCGGGAUGAUUUACUGGAAUUCCUUAAAACGCAUGCAGGUGUCAAUGUUAGACCCCAUGCCAACAAAGAAAAUAAUUUCGUCAGAAUUAUGGAAUUGAGCCGGAAUGAAAACGUGAAUCGGCGCUUAGCGAAACAUAUUUUUGAAUGUAUGAAGACAAGAAAUGUGAAACUUCAUGACAACGUACAGGGAGGUCACCUAAUCCUCCUAAACAA
Molecule: long non-coding RNA, 2623 nt
Organism: Nematostella vectensis (starlet sea anemone)
Lineage: Eukaryota; Metazoa; Cnidaria; Anthozoa; Actiniaria; Edwardsiidae
Exons: 2
Source: RefSeq, a predicted model, not a curated record